UGGAGGCCAAGGAAACUCUCGGCUUGAGCAUCACUUUGGAAAUCGAUGCGCCGUGAUUGCGAACCCAGCCUCUGUGGGCAUCUGCCUAAUUGUAGCUGGAUCUUUGCGGGCUUCUCACCAGGCUCAUCCACCCCCGUGCACCGGCAGAGCCGUUCCGAGAGCAUCAUUGAUCUCUUGACUAAAGCGUCCUCAGGAAAUACAGAUCUGCUGUUACCCGGAGAGCCGUCUGCCAUGGAGGCACAAAGACACGCUGCCAGGAGGACAGGAGCCAUCAUUUCCUUGAAAGGCCACCCUCUGGCACUAUCUGUCUUUGGCCAAAGUCUGCAGCGCAUCGCCCGCUCCGAGCUCUCCGUGCACCAAGCUCUCCGUGCGCUUCCAUCCUUCAGCCUCCAGCUCUACAGAGCUCCUUCCAGCGUCCUCACCUACCUGGUGUCCUCGCACCUGGGUGCUCCUGCCUACACUAGCUCCCCCUACCUGUCAUCUCUGUCACCCUCUGUCACCUUGCCCCUUGCUCAGCUUUGCCUCUUGACCCGGGUGGCAGAAGCACCUCUCACUAGGUGUCAGGUGACAGAGUCACCCCGUGCAGGGCACUCCUCCCUGGUCCUUUCCAGAAGAUCAGAGCCUUUCACUGGCAACCUGCCUCCGACCAAAUGAAUGUAGGAAGCAGACUUCUGGAAGGCGGGCCUUGGCGAGGGCUCUGGUGGACGUGUGACUCCCCCCACCCAGUGUGGGGGGCUCCAGGCUGCUGCGGGAAUGAACACCGCGUGGCUGGGGGCAGGACUGGAGGUUUAGCAGCGCAGGUGACACCUGAAACGUAAAGAAGCGACUGCGUUUGCUGCACCCAGAGGUCUGGCUCAUGGAGCUUUCCAGCUGGAGGGGGCGUCAGAAGUCAUGAGCGUGCAGCUUCAGAGGUGUAGCUUGCUUUCAGCUUCGACAUUUCUGGAGUCCCUCGCCUUAGAAUAUAGCAGCCCAGCUCUUUAGCACAGAUUUGAGGUCUGUCACUUCCAGCCCCACUUCUGGCUACAAUAA
This is a long non-coding RNA of Canis lupus familiaris (dog), 1029 nucleotides long. RefSeq lists it as uncharacterized. The transcript is spliced from 5 exons. The record is from RefSeq and is a predicted model, not a curated record. NCBI's taxonomy places the organism in Eukaryota, Metazoa, Chordata, Mammalia, Carnivora, Canidae.